AUUGAACGCUGGCGGCAGGCCUAACACAUGCAAGUCGAGCGGAUGAAGGGAGCUUGCUCCUGGAUUCAGCGGCGGACGGGUGAGUAAUGCCUAGGAAUCUGCCUGGUAGUGGGGGAUAACGUCCGGAAACGGGCGCUAAUACCGCAUACGUCCUGAGGGAGCAAGUGGGGGAUCUUCGGACCUCACGCUAUCAGAUGAGCCUAGGUCGGAUUAGCUAGUUGGUGGGGUAAAGGCCUACCAAGGCGACGAUCCGUAACUGGUCUGAGAGGAUGAUCAGUCACACUGGAACUGAGACACGGUCCAGACUCCUACGGGAGGCAGCAGUGGGGAAUAUUGGACAAUGGGCGAAAGCCUGAUCCAGCCAUGCCGCGUGUGUGAAGAAGGUCUUCGGAUUGUAAAGCACUUUAAGUUGGGAGGAAGGGCAGUAAGUUAAUACCUUGCUGUUUUGACGUUACCAACAGAAUAAGCACCGGCUAGCUUCGUG
This 484-nucleotide ribosomal RNA is filed under the name uncultured bacterium. Its description in RNAcentral is "partial 16S ribosomal RNA". It matches the Rfam family "Bacterial small subunit ribosomal RNA", at positions 30 to 507 of the family's 1533-position model. The record is from RNAcentral.